CUGAAGGAUUUUAAUGGUACAGUAAUUUUUAGGGAGCCAGGGAUAUCGUCUGAGGACAUAGGCCUGUUCACGGACGCUUCAGGGAGCGUAGGUUUCGGGGCUUAUUUGUCGGGACAAUGUUGCACUGAAGAGUGGCCGGCAGAAUGGAAAGCGAGCUUGCUGAUCAGGAAUCUAGCGUUCCUGGAAUUGUUCCCGGUGGUAGUUGC
This is a non-coding RNA of Pelobates cultripes (western spadefoot toad), 206 nucleotides long. Lineage: Eukaryota; Metazoa; Chordata; Amphibia; Anura; Pelobatidae. The record is from the annotation of a GenBank genome assembly.